CCUACGGGUGGCAGCAGUGGGGAAUAUUGGACAAUGGGGGGAACCCUGAUCCAGCCAUGCCGCGUGUGUGAAGAAGGCCCUCGGGUUGUAAAGCACUUUCAGUGAGGAAGAACGCCUGGUGGUUAAUACCCAUCAGGAAAGACAUCACCCACAGAAGAAGCACCGGCUAACUCCGUGCCAGCAGCCGCGGUAAUACGGAGGGUGCGAGCGUUAAUCGGAAUUACUGGGCGUAAAGCGCGCGUAGGUGGCUUGAUAAGCCGGUUGUGAAAGCCCCGGGCUCAACCUGGGAACGGCAUCCGGAACUGUCGAGCUAGAGUGCAGGAGAGGAAGGUAGAAUUCCCGGUGUAGCGGUGAAAUGCGUAGAGAUCGGGAGGAAUACCAGUGGCGAAGGCGGCCUUCUGGACUGACACUGACGCUGAGGUGCGAAAGCGUGGGUAGCAAACAGGAUUAGAUACCCUAGUAGUC
Molecule: ribosomal RNA, 465 nt
Filed under: Vreelandella stevensii
Lineage: Bacteria; Pseudomonadati; Pseudomonadota; Gammaproteobacteria; Oceanospirillales; Halomonadaceae
Description: partial 16S ribosomal RNA
Rfam family: Bacterial small subunit ribosomal RNA
Source: RNAcentral